This 765-nucleotide ribosomal RNA is filed under the name uncultured bacterium. RNAcentral's name for it is "bacterial SSU rRNA". It matches the Rfam family "Bacterial small subunit ribosomal RNA", at positions 28 to 806 of the family's 1533-position model. The record is from RNAcentral.
GAGGACCUUUGGCGGCGCGCCUAACACAUGCAAGUCGAACGAGAGAUGAGGAGCUUGCUCUUCAGAUCGAGUGGCGAACGGGUGAGUAACGCGUGAGGAACCUGCCUCAAAGAGGGGGACAACAGUUGGAAACGACUGCUAAUACCGCAUAAGCCCACGGCUCGGCAUCGAGCAGAGGGAAAAGGAGCAAUCCGCUUUGAGAUGGCCUCGCGUCCGAUUAGCUAGUUGGUGAGGUAACGGCCCACCAAGGCGACGAUCGGUAGCCGGACUGAGAGGUUGAACGGCCACAUUGGGACUGAGACACGGCCCAGACUCCUACGGGAGGCAGCAGUGGGGAAUAUUGCACAAUGGGGGAAACCCUGAUGCAGCGACGCCGCGUGGAGGAAGAAGGUCUUCGGAUUGUAAACUCCUGUUGUUGAGGAAGAUAAUGACGGUACUCAACAAGGAAGUGACGGCUAACUACGUGCCAGCAGCCGCGGUAAAACGUAGGUCACAAGCGUUGUCCGGAAUUACUGGGUGUAAAGGGAGCGCAGGCGGGAGAACAAGUUGGAAGUGAAAUCCAUGGGCUCAACCCAUGAACUGCUUUCAAAACUGUUUUUCUUGAGUAGUGCAGAGGUAGGCGGAAUUCCCGGUGUAGCGGUGGAAUGCGUAGAUAUCGGGAGGAACACCAGUGGCGAAGGCGGCCUACUGGGCACCAACUGACGCUGAGGCUCGAAAGUGUGGGUAGCAAACAAGAUUAGAUACCCUGGUAGUCCACACCGUAAA